Paramuricea clavata is the source of this 607-nucleotide non-coding RNA. The record is from the annotation of a GenBank genome assembly. Lineage: Eukaryota; Metazoa; Cnidaria; Anthozoa; Malacalcyonacea; Plexauridae.
CCGUUCUGAGAAACUGUAGAUUUUCCUGGGGCCAGACAGAUUCCCGAAAUCCCCUGGCCUAGAGAUUCCAGGCUCUUCCAGCUACAAGUACUGAAAAUCCAAUUGAAAUUUACAUUUGCUAAGACGAAAAUGUUCCUUUUCUACAGACAUAUGAACGAUUGCGAUUAUACAGUGUCAGAAACAAUAAGCAGUAGACAAAUCCAGAAUUACGUGCUGUGUAUUGGUUUUAUAUACUAUUAAUGUAGUUAUAUACAUUGUGUCAUUAAACAUUGUAUAUUAUAUGAUAUAAAUUACGUGUUUAGCUUCACAAAAUGAUCGAUAGUGCCACUUUAACGAAAUUGUUCCACCCAAUGAAGGAACCGUCAAAUACCCAUCCAGGUAAGUGCAAUUUAAAGGGGGCCUCAGGUAUUAAAAGCAAUUGUACGCAGCCAAAUGUACUUUCGGGAAACCGAUAAAAUGACACAUCAGCAUUCUCCUACACACGUAAAAACGCACAGGUCUGCAAAUGAAUUGUUAAAAAGCUGUUAACAAGAAUGUUACAAGGUUGUCAAAUAUAUUGCUAUAUAAUUUAAAACACUCAUUCAUAAUUCAUAAGCUUAUUGGCAAA